GCGAAUAUAGCUCAUUUGGUAGAGCAUCUGCCUUCCAAGCAGAGGGUGGUGGGUUCGAGCCCCACUAUUCGC
This 72-nucleotide transfer RNA is filed under the name Neochloris aquatica. Its description in RNAcentral is "tRNA-Gly". It matches the Rfam family "tRNA". From Rfam's summary of the family: Transfer RNA (tRNA) molecules are approximately 80 nucleotides in length. Their secondary structure includes four short double-helical elements and three loops (D, anti-codon, and T loops). Lineage: Eukaryota; Viridiplantae; Chlorophyta; Chlorophyceae; Sphaeropleales; Neochloridaceae. The record is from RNAcentral.